GACUAACGCUGGCGGCGUGCCUAAUACACGCAAGUCGAACGGGAUUCUUUGAUCAGCUUGCUGAGAGAAGGAUCUAGUGGCGGACGGGUGAGUAACGCGUGGGAAUCUGCCUCUUACUGGGGGAUAACAGUGGGAAACUACUGCUAAUACCGCAUAAGAUCUUCGGAUGAAAGGUGCAACUGCACCGGUAAGAGAUGAGCCCGCGUCCCAUUAGCUAGUUGGUGAGGUAAAGGCUCACCAAGGCGACGAUGGGUAGCCGGCCUGAGAGGGUGAACGGCCACACUGGGACUGAGACACGGCCCAGACUCCUACGGGAGGCAGCAGUAGGGAAUCUUCCGCAAUGGGCGCAAGCCUGACGGAGCGACGCCGCGUGAGUGAUGAAGGCCUUCGGUCGUAAAGCUCUGUUCUUGAGGACGAAUAAGCCAGGGAGGUGGAAAGGCCCUGGUGAUGACUGUACUCAAGGAGAAAGCUCCGGCUAACUACGUGCCAGC
This 491-nucleotide ribosomal RNA is filed under the name uncultured bacterium. Its description in RNAcentral is "bacterial SSU rRNA". It matches the Rfam family "Bacterial small subunit ribosomal RNA", at positions 28 to 512 of the family's 1533-position model. The record is from RNAcentral.